AGCUUAUUGAUACCGUUAUAAUAAGUAUUUUCUGCCCAGUGAAAUYUUAAACGSCCGCGGUACCCUGACCGUGCAAAGGUAGCAUAAUCAUUUGCCUUUUAAUUGGAGGCUAGUAUGAACGAAUAAACACUAAUCUUCCUUUCCCAUACAUAGAAAUAAAAAUUAUUCUUCAGGUGAAGAAACCUGAAUAUCAUAAAAAGACAAGAAGACCCUAUCAAGCUUUAUAUUUUCUUAAAUCACAUUUAUAAAAUAUUUGGUUGGGGCGACUAAUGGGGUUUAUAUUCCCCCAUAAAUAAAAUGAUCCAUAAAUCUUGACAUCUUAAUCAUAUAAAACAACAAAGCUACUGUAGGGAUAACAGGCUAAUAUUUUCUAAGAGUUCAAAUUAAAGAAAAUGAUUGGCACCUCGAUGUUGGCUUAGGGCCCCCUCCCCCUGCAGAAGGGGGGAAUGGUAGUUUGUUCAACUAUUAAACCCCU
This 475-nucleotide ribosomal RNA is filed under the name Proceraea pseudopicta. Its description in RNAcentral is "partial 16S ribosomal RNA". It matches the Rfam family "Bacterial large subunit ribosomal RNA", at positions 1828 to 2597 of the family's 2925-position model. The record is from RNAcentral. Lineage: Eukaryota; Metazoa; Annelida; Polychaeta; Phyllodocida; Syllidae.